Molecule: ribosomal RNA, 253 nt
Filed under: uncultured bacterium
Lineage: Bacteria
Description: partial 16S ribosomal RNA
Rfam family: Bacterial small subunit ribosomal RNA
Source: RNAcentral
UACAUGGGGUGCAAACGUUGCUCGGAAUUAUUGGGCGUAAAGCGCGCGUAGGCGGUUACUUAAGUCGGAUGUGAAAGCCCUCGGCUUAACUGAGGAAGUGCACCUGAAACUGAGUAGCUAGAGUACGAAAGAGGGUCGCGGAAUUCCCGGUGUAGAGGUGAAAUUCGUAGAUAUCGGGAGGAACACCGGUGGCGAAGGCGGCGACCUGGGUCGAGACUGACGCUGAGGCGCGAAAGCGUGGGGAGCAAACAGG